CGGGACACGUGGUAUCCUGUCUGAAUAUGGGGGGACCAUCCUCCAAGGCUAAAUACUCCUGACUGACCGAUAGUGAACCAGUACCGUGAGGGAAAGGCGAAAAGAACCCCGGCGAGGGGAGUGAAAAAGAACCUGAAACCGUGUACGUACAAGCAGUGGGAGCACGCUUAGGCGUGUGACUGCGUACCUUUUGUAUAAUGGGUCAGCGACUUAUAUUCUGUAGCAAGGUUAACCGAAUAGGGGAGCCGAAGGGAAACCGAGUCUUAACUGGGCGUUAAGUUGCAGGGUAUAGACCCGAAACCCGGUGAUCUAGCCAUGGGCAGGUUGAAGGUUGGGUAACACUAACUGGAGGACCGAACCGACUAAUGUUGAAAAAUUAGCGGAUGACUUGUGGCUGGGGGUGAAAGGCCAAUCAAACCGGGAGAUAGCUGGUUCUCCCCGAAAGCUAUUUAGGUAGCGCCUCGUGAAUUCAUCUCCGGGGGUAGAGCACUGUUUCGGCAAGGGGGUCAUCCCGACUUACCAACCCGAUGCAAACUACGAAUACCGGAGAAUGUUAU
Molecule: ribosomal RNA, 557 nt
Filed under: Escherichia coli
Lineage: Bacteria; Pseudomonadati; Pseudomonadota; Gammaproteobacteria; Enterobacterales; Enterobacteriaceae
Description: partial 23S ribosomal RNA
Rfam family: Bacterial large subunit ribosomal RNA
Source: RNAcentral